This 413-nucleotide ribosomal RNA is filed under the name uncultured bacterium. Its description in RNAcentral is "bacterial SSU rRNA". It matches the Rfam family "Bacterial small subunit ribosomal RNA", at positions 240 to 645 of the family's 1533-position model. The record is from RNAcentral.
AUUAGCUAGUUGGUAAGGUAACGGCUUACCAAGGCGAUGAUGCAUAGCCGACCUGAGAGGGUGAUCGGCCACACUGGGACUGAGACACGGCCCAGACUCCUACGGGAGGCAGCAGUAGGGAAUCUUCGGCAAUGGGGGCAACCCUGACCGAGCAACGCCGCGUGAGUGAAGAAGGUUUUCGGAUCGUAAAGCUCUGUUGUAAGAGAAGAACGUGUGUGAGAGUGGAAAGUUCACACAGUGACGGUAACUUACCAGAAAGGGACGGCUAACUACGUGCCAGCAGCCGCGGUAAUACGUAGGUCCCGAGCGUUGUCCGGAUUUAUUGGGCGUAAAGCGAGCGCAGGCGGUUUAAUAAGUCUGAAGUUAAAGGCAGUGGCUUAACCAUUGUUCGCUUUGGAAACUGUUAGACUUGA